Long non-coding RNA from Brienomyrus brachyistius, 1545 nucleotides. RefSeq lists it as uncharacterized. The transcript is spliced from 4 exons. NCBI's taxonomy places the organism in Eukaryota, Metazoa, Chordata, Actinopteri, Osteoglossiformes, Mormyridae. The record is from RefSeq and is a predicted model, not a curated record.
AAGUCAGGAGGCGAGGGAAGCUCAGCUGUUGGGGCUCAUUCCAGGAAGCUAGCGAUGGCGGCACUGUGCUUUCUGCUGCCCCAGAAGCCCCUGUGCCCUGGGCCGUGCUGCUCCGUCUCUGAGCUGACCUGGAGAACAUGCCAGUCAUGUGAAGUGCAAGAUGGCAGCUGUGGACUGUCACACUGUCUGACCCUGGAAAUCCAGAGCUCCAUCGAGUGGCACGAGCUCCGUGCGGGAAAAGGCCUGGCAGAUCUCCUAAUUAUGGAGAGCCUGGAGCCUACCCAAAGAAACACAGAGCACCCUCAGAGUAGAGCACUGAUCCGUCACAGGGCAUGCUCGAAGGCCAAUACAAAGAAGUUGGUUUACCAAAAUCUCACUCCUUCAGACUGACGAAAGAAACCAGAGCAGCAGGAGGAAACCCAUGGUGAACACAUGGAGAACAUAGGAAUUCAACGCAGAGAGCUGUGCCAGGAAUUCCAAACACACAACCCUGGAGGUGAGAAGCCACAUGACAAGCACACCACUCCUGAUGGGUUCAUUAUGAUUUAAAUACCUAGAAAGGACAAACGAUCCUAGAGACCCAUUUUGUUCCUGCCCUUGGUAAACAUGGGGACGCCAUGCCCAAAGUCACAUGUGACUGGGGGGGACUUCCGUCGCCUCUCGCCAAGAACACAGCCGCAGUGGCCCACUCUGGCGAGGAUGAGCAUCUGGGCUGUCCCACCCGCCUAACAGCCCCCUCAAUGGCUUUGCAGCUUCAGAGCUCUUUAAUGGAUGGUUCCUCCCCAGAACUCUCACAGCAGAUUAAAGCCUUGUGUAAAAAUUACUGACCACUAGCUUCGCAGAGGGGAAGAGAGAAAAAAGCAGAAUGGAAGGGAAAAACUGAAAGAAAAACAGCCUCAUAUCCCAGUUCAUUAAUCCAGCUACAGUAGUCAUCUCACAUCUCACGUCUCGUUAAGAAUCAUUUUAAACUGAUUAUUGGAUAAUAUACUGGGCAUUUUUAUAAAUAACUUUGUUGUUAUUUUUUAUAUAACUGACAAAUACUAGUGCAUUAACUUCUUUAAUGCAAAAUAAAAGGUAUAGUAUCAUUCUCACUUGCUUAAAGUAUUUUUUUUUAAUACAACAGAACUGCAUACUUUACUACCUGCUGAACUAAAAUGAUGCAAUGAAAAAUAUAUUUUUUAAGCGCAGUGAUCUAAAUAUCAUGAUCUCCUAAUUUCUUUUUUAACUUGUCUCCAAUGGCAUUUGAAGCUUUUACAUUCAUAAGGUAAUUCCCAGGCUCAGUUUUCUGAAUAGGUGCCAACACAGACAGUUACCGAUGCAAGAUUGCGGAACUGAAAGUGCACGUCUAUGCGAGGGGCUUAGCCUGCACCUGCGCACCUGAGACCCUGAUCCCAUCGCUGAUGUGUCAACUGCAAAACCGUGCCAAACAACUGACUUGCAGCUCUUCCUUCCUCAUUGAGAACUUCGAAAGAAGAAAGCAACCAGGAGCUCCACUGCCACCCACAGGAGGAGCCAUUUGUAUGAUCAGAAAAUGUUAAUAAAGAA